This 301-nucleotide ribosomal RNA is filed under the name uncultured bacterium. RNAcentral describes it as "partial 16S ribosomal RNA". It matches the Rfam family "Bacterial small subunit ribosomal RNA", at positions 509 to 807 of the family's 1533-position model. The record is from RNAcentral.
CAGUCGCCGCGGUAAUACGGAGGGUGCAAGCGUUAAUCGGAAUUACUGGGCGUAAAGCGCACGCAGGCGGUCUGUCAAGUCGGAUGUGAAAUCCCCGGGCUCAACCUGGGAACUGCAUUCGAAACUGGCAGGCUAGAGUCUUGUAGAGGGGGGUAGAAUUCCAGGUGUAGCGGUGAAAUGCGUAGAGAUCUGGAGGAAUACCGGUGGCGAAGGCGGCCCCCUGGACAAAGACUGACGCUCAGGUGCGAAAGCGUGGGGAGCAAACAGGAUUAGAGACCCCUGUAGUCCCUGUCUCUUAUAC